This 139-nucleotide ribosomal RNA is filed under the name uncultured bacterium. RNAcentral describes it as "partial 16S ribosomal RNA". It matches the Rfam family "Bacterial small subunit ribosomal RNA", at positions 355 to 509 of the family's 1533-position model. The record is from RNAcentral.
UAGGGAAUAUUGCUCAAUGGGGGGAAACCCUGAAGCAGCAACGCCGCGUGGAGGAUGAAGGGUUUUCGGAUUGUAAACUCCUUUUGUUAGAGAAGAUAAUGACGGUAUCUAACGAAUAAGCACCGGCUAACUCCGUGCC